UGGGAUGUAGCCAAGUGGCAAGGCGAAGGGCUUUGGUCCCUGGAUCGAAGGUUCGAUUCCUUCCAUCCCAA
This 71-nucleotide transfer RNA is filed under the name Marsupiomonas sp. NIES 1824. Its description in RNAcentral is "tRNA-Gln". It matches the Rfam family "tRNA". Rfam says of the family: Transfer RNA (tRNA) molecules are approximately 80 nucleotides in length. Their secondary structure includes four short double-helical elements and three loops (D, anti-codon, and T loops). The record is from RNAcentral. Lineage: Eukaryota; Viridiplantae; Chlorophyta; Pedinophyceae; Marsupiomonadales; Marsupiomonadaceae.